GACGAACGCUGGCGGCGUGCCUAAUACAUGCAAGUCGAACGCUGAAGGAGGAGCUUGCUUCUCUGGAUGAGUUGCGAACGGGUGAGUAACGCGUAGGUAACCUGCCUGGUAGCGGGGGAUAACUAUUGGAAACGAUAGCUAAUACCGCAUAAUAGCAGUUGUUGCAUGACAACUGUUUGAAAGGUGCAAUUGCACCACUACCAGAUGGACCUGCGUUGUAUUAGCUAGUUGGUGGGGUAACGGCUCACCAAGGCGACGAUACAUAGCCGACCUGAGAGGGUGAUCGGCCACACUGGGACUGAGACACGGCCCAGACUCCUACGGGAGGCAGCAGUAGGGAAUCUUCGGCAAUGGACGGAAGUCUGACCGAGCAACGCCGCGUGAGUGAAGAAGGGUUUCGGAUCGUAAAGCUCUGUUGUAAGAGAAGAACGAGUGUGAGAGUGGAAAGUUCACACUGUGACGGUAUCUUACCAGAAAGAGACGGCUAACUACGUG
RNAcentral lists this ribosomal RNA (495 nucleotides) under uncultured bacterium. RNAcentral describes it as "partial 16S ribosomal RNA". It matches the Rfam family "Bacterial small subunit ribosomal RNA", at positions 28 to 507 of the family's 1533-position model. The record is from RNAcentral.